Molecule: non-coding RNA, 752 nt
Organism: Pelobates cultripes (western spadefoot toad)
Lineage: Eukaryota; Metazoa; Chordata; Amphibia; Anura; Pelobatidae
Source: the annotation of a GenBank genome assembly
CAUGAAUGGUCCGUGCCCAAAACAGUUCCAGAGAAUCAGGGCUUGCGUUUGGUAGUUUAAAAACCUAACGAACAUAGUCAAUGUUCUUACCCUGGAGAUUGUUUACCUUGUGCAUGGUAAUGUUUCCACCGAACAGUGCCCUUCUAAGUUGUGUAGAACCGAACACAUGUGAUGCUGGAAGUCCAGCGGUGUUUGGGAAUUUCUGUUUCCGAUUUCAGUUCCUUGGGAUUCAUUCCCAAACACCGCUGGCUGCGUUUGUGGGAACAAGAUGGCCGUCGCCUCAUGGUAGUUCAUGCAAACAGCGUUCACCCAGACGAACAAUUAGAACACUGCGGUGGAACGUGUUAUAAACUGUCAAUUAGGCUUAAUAAGCUCUGGUUCGUGCGGCUGCUCUCUUCCCAAACCACACGAACAGAGCCAAUUAAAGUGUGUUCGACAAGGUAUAUUGCAGCGGCAAUAGUUCGGAGGCUGGCAAGCAGGCUCCUCCAGGAGCCUGUGGCGAGGUUCUGUUCGUCACAGCACCUUUUUAUUUCCCGUGAACACCAGCGCUCUCAUUCUGACUGCGUGCUCUCACAUUUUACUCAGUCUUAUCCUCUUGUCACUUCCAUAUUCUUUUUAACCUCAUUCUAGCAUUUCCUUAAAGGGACACUUAAUACCAUGACCACUGCAUCUAAAAGGACUCACUGUAUUGGGUAAUAAGAAAUGGGAAUGUUUAGAUUUAACCCCUGCGAUGCUGUGGUCACUCAACAGGC